CAGCAGCCGCGGUAAUACGUAGGGUGCGAGCGUUAAUCGGAAUUACUGGGCGUAAAGCGUGCGCAGGCGGUUUUGUAAGACAGGCGUGAAAUCCCCGGGCUCAACCUGGGAAUGGCGCUUGUGACUGCAGAGCUAGAGUGCGGCAGAGGGGGAUGGAAUUCCGCGUGUAGCAGUGAAAUGCGUAGAUAUGCGGAGGAACACCGAUGGCGAAGGCAAUCCCCUGGGCCUGCACUGACGCUCAUGCACGAAAGCGUGGGGAGCAAACAGGAUUAGAUACCCGCGUAGUCCCUGUCUCUUAUAC
Molecule: ribosomal RNA, 301 nt
Filed under: uncultured bacterium
Lineage: Bacteria
Description: partial 16S ribosomal RNA
Rfam family: Bacterial small subunit ribosomal RNA
Source: RNAcentral